UCGCAGUUAGUGAUGCUCUUAUUCAAGUGGUUUUGGUUUGGCUGCCUCUGACACUUUAUUCCAUGUUGCCUAAUAGUUUUAAAAGCCCCUAUUUUAUAGUCAGUGCAUCUUUCUGUGGGUCCCCAGAGAAGGGAAGACUGUGAGAUCAUAAUGCCUGGUUAUGGCAAAAAGACCGCAAUUCCCACCAGAGAGCAAAAAGGAAGUAAAGCUACCAUUGUUGAUCUGAAACUAAAUGGAUUCUUGUCCGUUGUGAGGAGCAGCAGCCUACAAAGCACACUGAAUGCCAAAUGUGUUGCACCAGGGCUACAGGUCUGGCUCCUUCAUACCUGCACUGUACUAUAAUGCACAGAUGUUUACACUGGUCUUCCUUAAGUAGAAAAAAAAUUAAAGAGGAAGUGAACGAUUUUCUUCUAGCUUUCUGUAGGGCUAAGGGAACACUUAGGCUUGAAUGGGGCAGAGAAGUCAAGAACUAGAAGAAAACAACAAUAAUAAAAGUUAACAUUUUUUGCAUUCUUACUUUGUGCUGGACGCUAUUCUAAGCUUCUCCUAUGAAUUAUCUCAGUUACUGUCCCCAACAGCCCCAUGAGGUAGGUAUUACUACUCUCCCUGGUUUACAGAUGUGCAAACCAAUGCGCAAGAAGUAUCCUGUCCAAGGGCACACAUUUGGGGAUUGGCAAAGCUAGGAUUUAAGCUCUGGAAUUUUGGCCCUCAAACCUGAACUUUUAACUCCUUGUCCACACAGGGAAGGAAAUUAAAAAGAGAAACUUUCAUGCUCAAGCUUCUACGUGUCCUAUGUGACCAAACUUGAGAUCUUAAGCUGCAGGUUCGCUGGGAUUUCCAUCAUCCCAGGCUGGCUCUUCAUCCACAGACUAGGGUGCUUGGAGAAUGAAAAGAGACUCACAAGAAGCAAAGCCAUGAAACUGAUAAAGGCAUCUGUUUUUCUAAUGCUUUUUCAUAAACAUACUCAUUCCUCUAUAAUUUCAAAUAUACAGCUUUCUCCAAAACUCCCUCUACAGCUCAAAGUCUGCUGAAGCCCAGAUUUUG
Molecule: long non-coding RNA, 1044 nt
Filed under: Homo sapiens (human)
Lineage: Eukaryota; Metazoa; Chordata; Mammalia; Primates; Hominidae
Description: HSALNT0064051
Source: RNAcentral